This is a long non-coding RNA of Carassius auratus (goldfish), 1837 nucleotides long. RefSeq lists it as uncharacterized. The transcript is spliced from 3 exons. NCBI's taxonomy places the organism in Eukaryota, Metazoa, Chordata, Actinopteri, Cypriniformes, Cyprinidae. The record is from RefSeq and is a predicted model, not a curated record.
GUGAUGGAGUUGUUCCGUAGAUGACAACCUUUAAAUGCAAAAGUGAAUCUUUUAAGUGACUUCAUCACUGAACAAGUUAUGCUAUAAGAAUGAAAAUGAGCUUUUGUAAUUAAUUCAUUACAGGUGGAUAAUAUAUUUCCAAAUAUAUUUGAUAAAUAUGACACACCAUAUCAAAUGAUAUUUCAAAGUUGUGAAUAAAACAACUAUUAAUGGAGUCUGUUUUUACAAGAAAAUAUUUUGUCAGUUUUUCUACUUCAAAAUGUCAUGUUUAAUUCAAUGUGUAUAACUUGCCAUUUCUUUGUUAAUAUUUGUAAGAUUUAUUAGAGAUUUCUGUUUAUAAACUGAUUUAAAGGAAAGGGGCAUUCACACCAAAAAUGAUAACUAUAAAGCAGCGCUAUCCAAGGGACAGAUUCGAUGUUGUGGACACACCUGGGGGCCGGACACUAUACAGUAUAUAUAAUAUUUGAAACUAACAUUUGAAACCAGUGGCACCAGCAAUAUUAAUAACAUUAAAUGUGUUGUCUCUUGGACAGUAGCUUUAGUUGAAAGUAGCAGUAGCUUGAGUUGGGAUGCAGAUUUUGUCUUUUUUUUUUUUUCAUUAAUACAUCUAUUUAAAAAAAAAGUAACCUUUUUAAAGGGAUAAAUAUGAAUAAUCUUACUGAGGCAGGACUCUAAUAUCAUUAAAGGGGACAUGAACUGUCUUUGUUUUUCAUUUUGUACUGUUCUUUGAGGUGUGUUAUCAAGAUUUUAACAUUUAAACCCCAUCAUUUAGAAGUAAUAAGCUAUUUUCUGUCCUGUUUUUUAACCCUCUUAUCAGAACGCUCUGUUUGAACAGGCGUGGUGGAUUGUAGACUCAGAAGUAUACACCCACUGAUACGAUUGGCUAACAGUCGUGUAAGUUUUGACAGCGUACAUCCCUCACAGACAUAAAACAUAUCAAACAAUCUGUAAUAACAGACUAAGCAAAAGUGACCAAAUUAUAAAACAGUUACACUUGUGUAUUGCGACAUUACUACUGGACCCAAUAUAUUCAGCACAGCAUCGUCUUUGAGUUUCAAUCUUUUUGAAAAUCUCGUGUUGAAUUGUGCCUCGUUUGUAAACAAAUCCGCUGUAAAAUAAAGUGGAAGAACGGCGAUUUCUUGCUGACAUGGUCUGGACCUUCAUUAGAAAUAAAGUUCAUCCCCUCUUUCCUAAAGAUGGGAGCAGAACGAAAGCAAAGCAAAGACUAUUUUUUCGACAACUUGGCACUGCACAGCGUCUUCUUGUCUUUAGAGCCAUCUUUAUCAUUUGGCUUCGGUGUAGACCCGCGUCGACCUGCUGUGUGUGUGCACUUUGGAUGGGUUAAAUGCAUAGCAUGAAUUCUGAGUAUGGGUCACCAUACUUGGCUGUAUGUCCUUUCACUUUAAAAUUAACAUUUGGUCUUCCACAGUAUCAUACACGUAGACCAGGGGUGUCAAACUCAAUUCCUGGAGGGCCAGAGCCCUGCAUAGUUUAGAUUCAACCCUAAUUAAACACACCUGAUCCAACUAAUCAGGUCUUUCAGGCUUAUUUGAAAGCUAAAUGGUAUAUGUGUUGGAACAAAACUCUACAGGGCUCCAGCCCUCCAGGAAUUGAGUUUGAUACCCCUGACUUAGAUCAUGACAACCACGGGUAAAACCACACAUGGUCUUCACAGCUGCUUGUUUGGACUGACUGAUCAAGCUGUCCAUCUUUUUCAGACACGCCAUAUUUCAGUGAUAGUCCUUGUAAGGUCUCACCGGGCUGGACUUUAUGCUCAAUUCGUCUUUGUCUAACGGGUGAUAAUGAAGAGGACACCAGGCUGCCGUAGGACCGGGUG